This 375-nucleotide ribosomal RNA is filed under the name uncultured bacterium. RNAcentral describes it as "bacterial SSU rRNA". It matches the Rfam family "Bacterial small subunit ribosomal RNA", at positions 523 to 898 of the family's 1533-position model. The record is from RNAcentral.
AUACGUAGGGUGCGAGCGUUAAUCGGGAUUACUGGGCGUAAAGCGUGCGCAGGCGGUUUUGUAAGCCAGACGUGAAAUCCCCGGGCUUAACCUGGGAACUGCGUUUGGAACUGCAAGACUAGAGUGUGUCAGAGGGAGGUGGAAUUCCGCGUGUAGCAGUGAAAUGCGUAGAUAUGUGGAGGAACACCGAUGGCGAAGGCAGCCUCCUGGGAUAACACUGACGCUCAUGCACGAAAGCGUGGGGAGCAAACAGGAUUAGAUACCCUGGUAGUCCACGCCCUAAACGAUGUCAACUGGCUGUUGGGAGAGAAAUCUUUCAGUAGCGAAGCUAACGCGUGAAGUUGACCGCCUGGGGAGUACGGCCGCAAGGCUAAA